This 253-nucleotide ribosomal RNA is filed under the name uncultured bacterium. RNAcentral describes it as "partial 16S ribosomal RNA". It matches the Rfam family "Bacterial small subunit ribosomal RNA", at positions 524 to 776 of the family's 1533-position model. The record is from RNAcentral.
UACGUAGGGGGCAAGCGUUGUUCGGAAUUACUGGGCGUAAAGCGCGUGUAGGCUGCUCGGAAAGUCGGAUGUGAAAGCCCUGGGCUCAACCUAGGAAGUGCAUUCGAAACUUCCGAGCUGGAGUUCUGGAGAGGAAGGCGGAAUUCUCGGUGUAGAGGUGAAAUUCGUAGAUAUCGAGAGGAACACCGGUGGCGAAGGCGGCCUUCUGGACAGUGACUGACGCUGAGACGCGAAAGCGUGGGGAGCAAACAGG